AGCGAACGCUGGCGGCAGGCUUAACACAUGCAAGUCGGGCGGUCCGUUCGGGGUCAGCGGCGGAGGGGGGAGUAACGCGGGGGAACGUUGCCUCGGGGACGGAAUAGCUCAGGGAAACUAGAGCUAGUACCGGAUAGGGCCUGUGGGGGAAGGGCUUGCUGCCGGAGGAUGGGCCCGCGUCUGAGUAGCUAGUUGGUGAGGUAACGGCUCACCAAGGCGACGGGCAGUAGCGGGUCUGUGAGCAUUAGCAGCCGCCCUGGGACUGAGACACGGCCCAGACUCCUACGCGAGGCAGCAGUGGGGAAUAUUGGCCACUGGGCGCAAGCCUGAUCCAGCCCUGCCGCGUGAGUGAUGAAGGCCUUAGGGUUGUAAAGCUCUUUUAUCCGGGACGAUAAUGACGGUACCGGAGGAAUAAGCCCCGGCUAACUUCGUG
Molecule: ribosomal RNA, 433 nt
Filed under: uncultured bacterium
Lineage: Bacteria
Description: partial 16S ribosomal RNA
Rfam family: Bacterial small subunit ribosomal RNA
Source: RNAcentral